GGGAACUUCCUGCCAAGCGUGAGAACGCUGCGAACUUCCCGGAGGCCAAAAGUUGAGGGGGCUGAGCGGAGCGUGAUUGGGGAGGGGCGGGCCUGGGAGACCUUGGGCGCCUCCUCUGAAAGCCUCUUGUGAGGAUUUCUUUCCCAUGCACUGAGUCGGGGCCUCCAGAGCCGCAGUGCAGGGCAGUCGAGGGUCCGCUGCAGGGCGGAGGUCACAGCCGCGCAAGUCGUCAGUCUCCGGUGCAGGGCUGCCGCUGAGUCUUCAAGAGCGAGUUUUAUUAUGGACAGGCGUGUGUUUAUUCCUCCUCCUUUUUUCCUGCUUAUGUUUCUCUUGUCCACGGUGGGUGAGGUUCGUGGUAAUAAGGACUUGAUAAGUGUAUUAUGAGAUAACCACUGAAUGAAUUUGCACAAUAGACGUGCGUGCCCUUCAUCUGCCGCGUCAUUUACUUGCUUUCAAAGGACUUUAUUAUUCACCUGCCCAUUCAUUUUCACUUAGUCCCACUUAUCGUCAGCUUUUUAAAGAGGUGGAGUGAUUCCGUGUUACAGCAACCUACAGCCCAACAAAGCCUUCAGAUAUCUGCCUCCAGGAGUCCAACCCUCAUCCCUUUCCAAAGAACUGGUAGCGGAUAGGUGCCAGCAAUACCGACAUUUAUUGGCACAAUGCUUUGCACUUUUCAAAAGACCUGUUCACAGCUCAACGGAGAAAUAAAUAUGAGGGAAUAAACACAACCAAGACAGUCCUGGGAAUGCAAGGGCUAAACGCUCAAUCUGAGAACUGCCACUACCUAACUGGUUUGGGCAGCGUCUACUAAGUGGUAUUUCACUGUUGAGAGAGGUGAUAUAUUAGAAGUACGAAACUUCUAAUUUAUUCAUAAAAAAUAAAAUGGUAAAAAAUGGGAACCCUUAUCAAGGUUAAAAUAUCCUUAGGUCAUCUAAUCGAAACUGUUAAGUAUAAACAUUCUUAGAAAAUAACGUUUGCAUUGCCUCUCUCUUUUCAUCUCUUAGCACGAUAACAAAUGCAGAGUGAGUGGAAGAAUGAAAUGACUCUUCAAACAUCAGGAAGCAAAAAUAGUUUUUUGCUACUUAAAGGCUCCACCUAAUUAUCUCAGUUCUUUUCACUUUGUGUAUUCAAGCUACACAACUUUAUACAAUCGUUCUGCUGUUGAAACCCAUUUUAUUUUAAUCCUGAUCUGAGGAUAGAACAGGACUGAUCAGGAUGUUUUUAUCUCUAUUAGAACAAUUGUUUCCCAAGUCUGAACUUAACUUUGAAUUUAUCUUAACCAUGGAAAUGGUGAGAAUCACUUGAACUCAACAUGGUAUAUCUCUCAGUUGAGUUCUCAGAACAUAAGUCAUUUCAACAAUAUAUUUUAUUAUUUAUAAAAGGUGAAACAUUUUAAUAAUUAAAACCUUAUAGAACAAUGUAAAGAAUCUAGCCAGAAUUUUAUUUUCCCCCAAGUGCAUAAGCAAUUUAAGUAACACAUAGAAGUGUACCUUUUAUUCCUAUAGUGUUAUAUACCAAUGAGGAAACAGUAACUUUCUAAGGAUACAUUGUUGAAUUCUUUAUUAAUUCAAAACAUUUUAAGAAAGUCAGUGUAAUGCAUAUGCAUUUUACAAUAACAUCCAUAGGUUUCCACAAUCUAGUAAAAUGAAAACAGCUGUAUUUUGAUUUACUUUGAAAACUCAAACCUAUAGUUCGAGACUUCUGAAUAUUUUUACAUUACUGUCAUGCUCAAAUUCUGUUACAUGGUGAAAAUUCUAGCAUUUUCCAGAAGUAUAUUAUUGUACAUAGGUAAAAUGAUAAAAUUGAUUCUAGGAAGGGGGAAAAAAAAACCCAGAAAAACUUAAAUUGGAGGAAACAUAAUCUGGAUUAUCUAUUCAAUUUGUGAAUACCCACCGUUAUUCUGGCAUUGCAAAAUAACCAAGUGUGGUGCCUCUUAAGUUGCAUUCAUGCAUUCAAAACUUCUUUAUUGUCCACUGAUAAAUAUUGGUGGAGUACAAUAUAUGGAUAUAGAUUAAGUGUGAUGAACAUGGUAGUAAAAAAUUAUACACAUUCGAUAUGUAAUUUUACAAAACCAAACACAUUGAAUUCUUUUUAAUAUUUAGCAAACAUUUAAAAAUCAUAUACAAGAAAGGUGUUUAUGACAAAUCGGUUAAAGCUAGCGGGAAAUAGGUCUUUUACAUUAUUUCAAUAUUCAGUGUUCAUUGAUUAGUGGAGGGCAAUAUAAAAAUGCAAUAAGCAAAAUGGUUAGUUUAAAUUUAAAUUACCUCUUAUGACAAUUAGUAAGAUAAGAUCUUUAAUAUCCAAAGUAUGUGGAGGAUUAUUGUAAAUUGCGCAGACAGUUCAAGGGAAAAAUUCACUUUCACCUCUAUUAGGUGAAUAUUCAGGCUAAGACUUCUGGAGUUUUAUUUUUCCACUUCACUGUAUUUUCUUUAUAGCAUUUAUUAGUAAUCACUUAGUGGAACCUAAUAUUAGUGUUUAGAAUUUGUUUAGCUCAGUGUAAAUGUCCAGAAAAUUUACCUUCAAUAUAAUCUCUUUAAAAACGCAUUACUUUACAGUGGAGAAAUAUAAUAGAUGCUACCUCAGCUAAGUGAUCAAGGUUAACAUCAACAGCUAAGAGUAGCCUAAAGUUUGAGAAACUGUCACAGCUAAGACGAGUCCCGGUGAUGGCAUAUACCUUUGAUACCAUGUGAUGAGCAUGGCACUUUACCGUUGUGUUCUUUCAAAAACCAAAAACCUGUGUCUAGUCACGAGAAAAACAUCAGACGAAUCCCCAUAGAAGGACAUUCUACAAAAUACCAGUUUAUUUCUCAAAACUGUCAUCAAAAACAAGGAAAGUUGCAGAAACUGUCACAGCCAAGGGAAGCCUAAGGAAACAUGACAACUAAAUGUAAUGUGGUAUCCUGAAUGGGAUCCUGGGACAGAAAAAGGACAUUAGGUUAUAAACUAAGGAAAUCUGAAUGAAGUAUGAAUGUAAUGAUCAAUAUUGGCUCAUUAAUGCCCAUAGAUGUAUAUGGGACCUCUCUAUUUGGAGUUUUUCUGUAAAUCUAAAACUACUCUAAAAUAAAAGGUUUAAUGGACACAUUACUAUUUUAAAUUUUAUACAUUUUAUUUUUUUCUUAGAGUCAGGGUCUCACUUUGUUGCAUAGACAUGUCUGGAACUCCUGGGCUCAAGUGAUCCUCACGCCUUAGUCUCCCAAAGUGCUGGGAUUGUAUGCGUGAGCCACCGUGCCUGGCCCAUUACCACCUUUUAUUAAGUUUUUAUUUUCAUUGUAAAAUUGUUAAAGAAAAUCAUACCACCUUAAUAUUAAAAAGAGUGUUUUCUAAUUGUCAAUCUCUUAUAACUUAGUCUUAGCCCUAUAACUCAUUUAUAUAUUUAGCAAGUAAUUUGAUAUUAUUUCUGUCCUUGGGAAUGUUGUUUUAUUUCCUUUGGAAAUAAAACUUUCAAAUGAUUGAUCUUAUUUAAACUUUAAUUUUAACCUAUAAUUGUAUAUCCAUUUAUCAUCUAUCUAUCAUCUAUCUAUCAAUCAUCUAUCUAUCUAUGUCAUUGAAAGAAACAUUUCUAUAGAUUUGAGGUGAUGGUGAACUGAAAGUACUGAUUUGGGAUCACAUUAUUGAGAAAAGCAGUAACACUGAUAUAGUGUUCCAUCUUAAAACAUGAUUGUAUGUUUUGAUGAGUAGCUAAAUCAGAUGUUUAACGUAUGUUUUGGAAAAAAAUAGGGGAAAGUGCAUUAAAGUGACAUUUAAUACAAGUAUACAAUAACAAUUAUUGACGUGAUGCACUUUGAUAAAAUAAUAAUGUAUGCCACACUUUAUUCUUUCCACGUUUGUUUUAUUUAAUGCUCAUAGUUAUCCUGAUAAUUACGUAUUUUAUUUGUCAUUUGCAGAUGAGGAAAUGAACUCAGAGAAGAUAAAUGAUUUGCCCAAAGUCACAUGAGACAGAAAUAUAACUUGAAAUCAAAUUUGUAAUUUUAAGUUCCUGAUGUUUUUACACUAUGCUCCCUAAGUGAAUCUGUGGACAUACAUUUCCAUUAGUAACCUUACUCAUCUUAUAGCUUUUGUCAUAGGAAGAAAAUCAGUUCCCAAACUGGGACCUUCUAUCACCUAGGGCAACAUUUUGCCUUUUGUAGUGUUUUCAGUAGAGUCAAAGUCUUGAACAGCCUCUUGAAUUCAUCUGAAAAGAUGUUACUUGGGGCUGGAGAGGACUACACCUGUAAGAGUAAUAAUUUCAAAAAUACCUAUAAAUAAAUCAAAUCUGGGUAUUCAGAAAUAAUACUUGUCAUUGUGCACCAUCUUGUGUUGCAAGGAUAUUUUAAGCACUGCAGGGAAAAUCUGAAGCAAGUUUUGGGUUAUCAGUUUUAUUGAUAAAUAUUUGCAGUUGUAGCAAGUGAAGAAUUAAAAAUUUUUGCAGAUUGGAUAUUGUUUUUGCAGGAGAACAAACCCAUUGGUCAGAAAUUUGAAGAUGGAAAACACAAAAAUACAUGUUUGAAAAAUAUACUUAGAAAAUUAUGGUUGUAAACUGUCAAUGUAAACAGAUAGGCGAAAAUAUUUUUUGGAAAUAUCUUUACCAUCUUUCAAAAUAAUUAGGCAAUGUGUCAAGAUCAAAGUAUUCAAAAUACAUGUUUGAUAGGCUUCUAUCUAUAGGCAUUUUCUGUCUAAGACUUAAAAAUAUUAUUAUUAUAAUUAUUAUUAUUAUUUUGAGAUGGAGUCACUCUGUUGCCAAGGCUGGAGUGCAGUGGCAUGAUAUCAGCUCACUGCGACCUCUGCCUCCUGGGUUCAAGCGAUUCUCCUGCCUCAGCCUCUCAAGUAGCCGGGAUUAAAGGCACCCACCACCAUGCCCGGCUAAUUUUGUAUUUUUACUAGAGUCGGGGUUUCACCAUGUUGGCCAGUCUGGUCUCAAACUCCUGAGCUCAAGUGAUCCGCCCUCUUUGGCUUCCCAAAGUGCUGGGAUUACAGGCUUGAGCCACUGUGCCUGGCCAAGAAAUUUUAGGUGGUUUUCAAAUACGUUUUAUUUUUG
This 5014-nucleotide long non-coding RNA is filed under the name Homo sapiens (human). Its description in RNAcentral is "non-protein coding lnc-VIP-4:4". The record is from RNAcentral. Lineage: Eukaryota; Metazoa; Chordata; Mammalia; Primates; Hominidae.